AGAACACUGCUCUCAUCAUGCAGAGCUAGGAGUGUGAUGGAGGGCAGAAGAUGGAGAACACAGGCUUUGGCUGAAGAUCAUGUUGGUCAAGGGGCUUGAAACUGAACUAGAGGUCACAAAUCCAGACAACACUGCCAGCCUGUACAUUGUGGCAUAUGCGAAUCGUGCUGAUUUUCAAAUAGUGUAUUGUGAAUCCUGGAGCCUGGAACCAUCGCGACAAAUACUGCUUGGUGAAGAAUUAAAAAAAAAAAGAGCUUCAGAACAAUGAAUCUUCAUCUAGAAUAAGAAUAGAUUGAAGCUAAGAGGAAUACCUUGUGACCAGUCAAUUGGAGAGGAACUCCAGCCUGUACUGCUUUCCUUCAAAUCCUGUACUGGUUCCAUGCCAUGAUAUCAGGGGCAUUGGCCAUGCUAAUGGAUGCUGCUUUCAACAGAGCAUUUAUUGAAGAUACUGAAAUGGAGAUCAUAUAUGACACUUUCUGUAUCGAUCCCCAGUUAAAAGCUGAUGGCAUCAAAGUUAAAGCAACAUUCAUCGAGUGACCUGUGUGCGGAGAUAAUUUACCGGUCUAGGGACUUUGCUUUCCAAUACUUUAAAUUACAAUAAGUCUAAGAUUUUAGGAUUGAAUGAAUUGAGGUAAAAUGUGCCUCUUC
Molecule: non-coding RNA, 648 nt
Organism: Rattus norvegicus (Norway rat)
Lineage: Eukaryota; Metazoa; Chordata; Mammalia; Rodentia; Muridae
Source: RefSeq, a predicted model, not a curated record